GAUGAACGCUAGCUACAGGCUUAACACAUGCAAGUCGAACGAGAAGUUUUUUAUUGAACCUUCGGGGGAUAUAAGAGACAGACAGUGGCGAACGGGUGAGUAACGCGUGGGCAACCUACCUAUCGGAGCGGGAUAGCCUCGAGAAAUCGGGAGUAAAACCGCAUAACACGGAUAUAUCGCAUGAUGAAUCCGUCAAAACUCCGGUGCCGAUAGAUGGGCCCGCGUCUGAUUAGCUAGUUGGUAAGGUAAGGGCUUACCAAGGCAACGAUCAGUAGCCGGUCUGAGAGGGCGAACGGCCACACUGGAACUGAGACACGGUCCAGACUCCUACGGGAGGCAGCAGUGGGGAAUAUUGCGCAAUGGGGGCAACCCUGACGCAGCAAUACCGCGUGAGUGAAGAAGGUUUUCGGAUCGUAAAGCUCUGUUAUUGGGGAAGAAGC
RNAcentral lists this ribosomal RNA (440 nucleotides) under Pseudoramibacter alactolyticus. RNAcentral's name for it is "bacterial SSU rRNA". It matches the Rfam family "Bacterial small subunit ribosomal RNA", at positions 28 to 451 of the family's 1533-position model. Lineage: Bacteria; Bacillati; Bacillota; Clostridia; Eubacteriales; Eubacteriaceae. The record is from RNAcentral.